Molecule: unclassified non-coding RNA, 227 nt
Filed under: Hevea brasiliensis (rubber tree)
Lineage: Eukaryota; Viridiplantae; Streptophyta; Magnoliopsida; Malpighiales; Euphorbiaceae
Source: RNAcentral
AAAAAACCCGAGUUGCAGAUUUCUGAGCCGAAACAAAUACAACUCCUAAAAUUCACAAGCGGAAUUGCAAAAAGAAACCUUUCAAUGCUCCAAAAGAAAGAUUAAGUUCACUGCCAAACUGCCAAGCAAACUGAAACCUAGCUUCAGGCACAGCACAAAAUUCUCGAAAAGCAGGAAAUGAGAGCUUUAGCUCCAAGACAAAACCAAAAACCUAACCUUAAAAUUAA